AUCCUCACUUCAGCAAUACAUAUACUAAAAUUGGAACAAGACAAGGAUGAUGAACACGGCCCCUGUGCAGAGAAGACAUACAAAUUUCAGAAGUGUUCUUUAUUUUA
This 107-nucleotide small nuclear RNA is filed under the name Microtus ochrogaster (prairie vole). The record is from RNAcentral. Lineage: Eukaryota; Metazoa; Chordata; Mammalia; Rodentia; Cricetidae.